GAUGAACGCUGGCGGCGUGCCUAAUACAUGCAAGUCGAGCGAACAGAUGAGGAGCUUGCUCCUCUGACGUUAGCGGCGGACGGGUGAGUAACACGUGGAUAACCUACCUAUAAGACUGGGAUAACUUCGGGAAACCGGAGCUAAUACCGGAUAAUAUAUUGAACCGCAUGGUUCAAUAGUGAAAGACGGUUUUGCUGUCACUUAUAGAUGGAUCCGCGCCGCAUUAGCUAGUUGGUAAGGUAACGGCUUACCAAGGCGACGAUGCGUAGCCGACCUGAGAGGGUGAUCGGCCACACUGGAACUGAGACACGGUCCAGACUCCUACGGGAGGCAGCAGUAGGGAAUCUUACGCAAUGGGCGAAAGCCUGACGGAGCAACGCCGCGUGAGUGAUGAAGGUCUUCGGAUCGUAAAACUCUGUUGUUAGGAAAGAACAAAUGUGUAAGUAACUAUGCACGUCUUGACGGUACCUAAUCAGAAAGCCACGGCUAACUACGUG
RNAcentral lists this ribosomal RNA (497 nucleotides) under uncultured bacterium. RNAcentral's name for it is "partial 16S ribosomal RNA". It matches the Rfam family "Bacterial small subunit ribosomal RNA", at positions 28 to 507 of the family's 1533-position model. The record is from RNAcentral.